GAUGAAGAACGUAGCGAAAUGCGAUAAGUAAUGUGAAUUGCAGAAUUCAGUGUAUCAUCGAAUCUUUGAACGCACCUUGCGCUCCUUGGUAUUCCGAGGAGCAUGCCUGUUUGAGUGUCAUGAAAUUCUCAACCUUUUCAGCUUUCUUUGUUGAUCAGGCUUGGAUGUGGGAGUAUGCGGGCUUCUCAGAAGUCGGCUCUCCUGAAAUGCAUUAGCGGGACCUUUGUUGCCUGGCUUUGGUGUGAUAAUUAUCUACGCCAUUGUAGUCAAGCAGCUUAAAAUGAGGUUUCAGCUUCUAACCGUCUCCCCUGAGACAACUUUUUGACAAUUUGACCUCAAAUCAGGUAGGACUACCCGCUGAACUUAAGCAUAUCAAUAAGCGGAGGA
Molecule: unclassified non-coding RNA, 387 nt
Filed under: soil metagenome
Description: partial contains 5.8S ribosomal RNA, internal transcribed spacer 2, and large subunit ribosomal RNA
Rfam family: 5.8S ribosomal RNA (bases 1-120)
Source: RNAcentral